RNAcentral lists this ribosomal RNA (467 nucleotides) under uncultured bacterium. RNAcentral describes it as "partial 16S ribosomal RNA". It matches the Rfam family "Bacterial small subunit ribosomal RNA", at positions 29 to 507 of the family's 1533-position model. The record is from RNAcentral.
ACGAACGCUGGCGGCGUGCUUAACACCUGCAAGUCGAACGGAAAGGCCCUGCUUUUGUGGGGUGCUCGAGUGGCGAACGGGUGAGUAACACGUGAGUAACCUGCCCUUGACUUUGGGAUAACUUCAGGAAACUGGGGCUAAUACCGGAUAGGAGCUCCUGCUGCAUGGUGGGGGUUGGAAAGUUUCGGCGGUUGGGGAUGGACUCGCGGCUUAUCAGCUUGUUGGUGGGGUAGUGGCUUACCAAGGCUUUGACGGGUAGCCGGCCUGAGAGGGUGACCGGCCACAUUGGGACUGAGAUACGGCCCAGACUCCUACGGGAGGCAGCAGUGGGGAAUAUUGCACAAUGGGCGGAAGCCUGAUGCAGCAACGCCGCGUGCGGGAUGACGGCCUUCGGGUUGUAAACCGCUUUCGCCUGUGACGAAGCGUGAGUGACGGUAAUGGGUAAAGAAGCACCGGCUAACCACGUG